GGUUAAGCGACUAAGCGUACACGGUGGAUGCCCUGGCAGUCAGAGGCGAUGAAGGACGUGCUAAUCUGCGAUAAGCGUCGGUGAGGUGAUAUGAACCGUUAUAACCGGCGAUUUCCGAAUGGGGAAACCCAGUGUGUUUCGACACACUAUCAUUAACUGAAUCCAUAGGUUAAUGAGGCGAACCGGGGGAACUGAAACAUCUAAGUACCCCGAGGAAAAGAAAUCAACCGAGAUUCCCCCAGUAGCGGCGAGCGAACGGGGAGGAGCCCAGAGCCUGAAUCAGUGUGUGUGUUAGUGGAAGCGUCUGGAAAGGCGCGCGAUACAGGGUGACAGCCCCGUACACAAAAAUGCACAUAUUGUGAGCUCGAUGAGUAGGGCGGGACACGUGGUAUCCUGUCUGAAUAUGGGGGGACCAUCCUCCAAGGCUAAAUACUCCUGACUGACCGAUAGUGAACCAGUACCGUGAGGGAAAGGCGAAAAGAACCCCGGCGAGGGGAGUGAAAAAGAACCUGAAACCGUGUACGUACAAGCAGUGGGAGCCUCUUUAUGGGGUGACUGCGUACCUUUUGUAUAAUGGGUCAGCGACUUAUAUUCUGUAGCAAGGUUAACCGAAUAGGGGAGCCGAAGGGAAACCGAGUCUUAACUGGGCGUUAAGUUGCAGGGUAUAGACCCGAAACCCGGUGAUCUAGCCAUGGGCAGGUUGAAGGUUGGGUAACACUAACUGGAGGACCGAACCGACUAAUGUUGAAAAAUUAGCGGAUGACUUGUGGCUGGGGGUGAAAGGCCAAUCAAACCGGGAGAUAGCUGGUUCUCCCCGAAAGCUAUUUAGGUAGCGCCUCGUGAAUUCAUCUCCGGGGGUAGAGCACUGUUUCGGCAAGGGGGUCAUCCCGACUUACCAACCCGAUGCAAACUGCGAAUACCGGAGAAUGUUAUCACGGGAGACACACGGCGGGUGCUAACGUCCGUCGUGAAGAGGGAAACAACCCAGACCGCCAGCUAAGGUCCCAAAGUCAUGGUUAAGUGGGAAACGAUGUGGGAAGGCCCAGACAGCCAGGAUGUUGGCUUAGAAGCAGCCAUCAUUUAAAGAAAGCGUAAUAGCUCACUGGUCGAGUCGGCCUGCGCGGAAGAUGUAACGGGGCUAAACCAUGCACCGAAGCUGCGGCAGCGACACUAUGUGUUGUUGGGUAGGGGAGCGUUCUGUAAGCCUGUGAAGGUGGCCUGUGAGGGUUGCUGGAGGUAUCAGAAGUGCGAAUGCUGACAUAAGUAACGAUAAAGCGGGUGAAAAGCCCGCUCGCCGGAAGACCAAGGGUUCCUGUCCAACGUUAAUCGGGGCAGGGUGAGUCGACCCCUAAGGCGAGGCCGAAAGGCGUAGUCGAUGGGAAACAGGUUAAUAUUCCUGUACUUGGUGUUACUGCGAAGGGGGGACGGAGAAGGCUAUGUUGGCCGGGCGACGGUUGUCCCGGUUUAAGCGUGUAGGCUGGUUUUCCAGGCAAAUCCGGAAAACCAAGGCUGAGGCGUGAUGACGAGGCACUACGGUGCUGAAGCGACAAAUGCCCUGCUUCCAGGAAAAGCCUCUAAGCAUCAGGUAACAUCAAAUCGUACCCCAAACCGACACAGGUGGUCAGGUAGAGAAUACCAAGGCGCUUGAGAGAACUCGGGUGAAGGAACUAGGCAAAAUGGUGCCGUAACUUCGGGAGAAGGCACGCUGAUAUGUAGGUGAAGCGACUUGCUCGUGGAGCUGAAAUCAGUCGAAGAUACCAGCUGGCUGCAACUGUUUAUUAAAAACACAGCACUGUGCAAACACGAAAGUGGACGUAUACGGUGUGACGCCUGCCCGGUGCCGGAAGGUUAAUUGAUGGGGUUAGCGGUAACGCGAAGCUCUUGAUCGAAGCCCCGGUAAACGGCGGCCGUAACUAUAACGGUCCUAAGGUAGCGAAAUUCCUUGUCGGGUAAGUUCCGACCUGCACGAAUGGCGUAAUGAUGGCCAGGCUGUCUCCACCCGAGACUCAGUGAAAUUGAACUCGCUGUGAAGAUGCAGUGUACCCGCGGCAAGACGGAAAGACCCCGUGAACCUUUACUAUAGCUUGACACUGAACAUUGAGCCUUGAUGUGUAGGAUAGGUGGGAGGCUUUGAAGUGUGGACGCCAGUCUGCAUGGAGCCGACCUUGAAAUACCACCCUUUAAUGUUUGAUGUUCUAACGUUGGCCCGUAAUCCGGGUUGCGGACAGUGUCUGGUGGGUAGUUUGACUGGGGCGGUCUCCUCCUAAAGAGUAACGGAGGAGCACGAAGGUUGGCUAAUCCUGGUCGGACAUCAGGAGGUUAGUGCAAUGGCAUAAGCCAGCUUGACUGCGAGCGUGACGGCGCGAGCAGGUGCGAAAGCAGGUCAUAGUGAUCCGGUGGUUCUGAAUGGAAGGGCCAUCGCUCAACGGAUAAAAGGUACUCCGGGGAUAACAGGCUGAUACCGCCCAAGAGUUCAUAUCGACGGCGGUGUUUGGCACCUCGAUGUCGGCUCAUCACAUCCUGGGGCUGAAGUAGGUCCCAAGGGUAUGGCUGUUCGCCAUUUAAAGUGGUACGCGAGCUGGGUUUAGAACGUCGUGAGACAGUUCGGUCCCUAUCUGCCGUGGGCGCUGGAGAACUGAGGGGGGCUGCUCCUAGUACGAGAGGACCGGAGUGGACGCAUCACUGGUGUUCGGGUUGUCAUGCCAAUGGCACUGCCCGGUAGCUAAAUGCGGAAGAGAUAAGUGCUGAAAGCAUCUAAGCACGAAACUUGCCCCGAGAUGAGUUCUCCCUGAGACUUAGAGUCUCCUGAAGGAACGUUGAAGACGACGACGUUGAUAGGCCGGGUGUGUAAGCGCAGCGAUGCGUUGAGCUAACCGGUACUAAUGAACCGUGAGGCUUAACCUU
This 2904-nucleotide ribosomal RNA is filed under the name Escherichia coli. RNAcentral's name for it is "23S ribosomal RNA". It matches the Rfam family "Bacterial large subunit ribosomal RNA". Lineage: Bacteria; Pseudomonadati; Pseudomonadota; Gammaproteobacteria; Enterobacterales; Enterobacteriaceae. The record is from RNAcentral. RNAcentral also lists the same sequence under 7 other names.